CCUGGGGAGUACGGCCGCAAGGUUAAAACUCAAAUGAAUUGACGGGGGCCCGCACAAGCGGUGGAGCAUGUGGUUUAAUUCGAUGCAACGCGAAGAACCUUACCUGGUCUUGACAUCCACAGAACUUUCCAGAGAUGGAUUGGUGCCUUCGGGAACUGUGAGACAGGUGCUGCAUGGCUGUCGUCAGCUCGUGUUGUGAAAUGUUGGGUUAAGUCCCGCAACGAGCGCAACCCUUAUCCUUUGUUGCCAGCGGUCAGGCCGGGAACUCAAAGGAGACUGCCAGUGAUAAACUGGAGGAAGGUGGGGAUGACGUCAAGUCAUCAUGGCCCUUACGACCAGGGCUACACACGUGCUACAAUGGCAUAUACAAAGAGAAGCGACCU
RNAcentral lists this ribosomal RNA (383 nucleotides) under Klebsiella pneumoniae. RNAcentral describes it as "bacterial SSU rRNA". It matches the Rfam family "Bacterial small subunit ribosomal RNA", at positions 872 to 1255 of the family's 1533-position model. The record is from RNAcentral. Lineage: Bacteria; Pseudomonadati; Pseudomonadota; Gammaproteobacteria; Enterobacterales; Enterobacteriaceae.